UACGUAGGGGGCAAGCGUUAUCCGGAUUUACUGGGUGUAAAGGGAGCGUAGACGGCGAUGCAAGCCAGAUGUGAAAGCCCGGGGCUCAACCCCGGGACUGCAUUUGGAACUGUAUAGCUAGAGUGUCGGAGAGGCAGGCGGAAUUCCUAGUGUAGCGGUGAAAUGCGUAGAUAUACGGAGGAACACCAGUGGCGAAGGCGGAUUGCUGGACAGUAACUGACGCUGAGGCGCGAAAGCGUGGGGAGCAAACAGG
Molecule: ribosomal RNA, 253 nt
Filed under: uncultured bacterium
Lineage: Bacteria
Description: partial 16S ribosomal RNA
Rfam family: Bacterial small subunit ribosomal RNA
Source: RNAcentral